CGGGGGAGGAAAGGAGGCGAAGCGAGCGCUCCUGGGUGGGGGGCGCACCCGGCAGGUAGCUGCGGUCUCUGCCCCCUGCAGACGCCUCUCCUUCUCCCCUGGGACGGAGGCUUUCUUUCCAAGGUACUCCUCUCUACCUCUCUACUUAUAAACCAACUGCAGGAAAGUGCAUGUCAGGUUGUCAGCCAUAAGCAGGGGACUCCUUCACUGUUAUUUGGUUAAAACAUCUAUCCUCAGUUACAGAUGCUUCUCCUGCCAGUUCGCUGAUAAAAGUUUUUAGCCAUGCAUCGGAAUCACCUCAGGACUCCACUCCCAAUCAAUUAUGUAUCUGGGGGAGGACCAAGGCGUUGGUAUUUUUCAGAAGCUCCACUGGGGAUUCUGACAGCACAGCUAGGAUUAAGAAACUGAUCAAUGGGAACGGCAUGCCUGUUAGCAGAGGAGCUUCCCUGGGAAAUGUCAUACACAGAACAUCAAUCUUCCUUCCCCACUCCGGAGAUCCCUCAUUCUUUGGCACCAGGAACAGUUGCAAUUAGUAAACCCUGGUUCCCUGCUGUCUCACAAAUUGCAAGAGUCCAACGUGUGGAUAUAAACUUUUGUUCAUGGGAGGAUCUUUCCCUUAGUGGAAAAGCAACUGGGAAAAGCAGGACACACUGUACAGUGACUGCAGUUUCAUCCAAUGCCACCACCCAUGCAGGCAUAAAUAAUGAACAUGGAUGGGGGAGUCUGGAGCUGCUGAAUUGUAAGGCUCAUAAAUGUUUAAACUUUUUCUGUUAAUAAUAUUUCUGCUUUCUGUGUAUGUGUAUGUAGAAGUUCUGUCUUUAUAAUUCUCACCACUUCGCAUCAUACUUUCCAGGAGGAAGGAAGAACACAGAAAUUAAAAUUCUCACAAAGGCUACCGUUAAACUAGAGGAAGACCACAUCACUGUGUGUCCACAAAGAUACAGAGCCAGGCCGGGUUCAGCCAUGCUGGUCAUCUGCUCUAUAUACUACAAUUAUUUAGAGAUGGUGGGUAGAGAACAACUACAGGAAAAAAAAAACUGCCAGAAACUAGAAUGUCAUUUUUACACACUCAUUUGUAGAAUUCCUCCCGGUUUUUACUCAAGGGAACUUUCAAAUGAUUUUCAUUUGGGGAAAGAACUGUUUUGAGUUUACCCUAUAAGAUGGCCACUAAAACUCACCCACUUUCAUGAUUACCCAGCCGUCCUCAGAUCAUCUUCAUGAUUUUCCUGGAAAUAACGGAAGAGGCCCUGGGGAUAAUUUUAUUGGUAGAGUGGGAAUGUAUUAAAAUUCUCUACUUCCUUGUUACAUGGUCUUUCCUUCACCCUACAAGAUGUGUGCUUGUAACUCAAAUUUCCAUUUGAGUAACCAGCAAUUAUUAUUUAAAACUAACCUGAAAAUAAAAAUUGUAUUCAACUCAUUCAUAGGGAUCAUCUACCUAUUUAUUAUUGCCACAUAGGUGAUGUGACUCUAGAAACAUCUUGGUAUUCAAAUAGCCAGUUAAAAUAUAAAAUGUAAUGAUUUUCUAAAGCUACUCGUUUUCCUUCUCUCAUCUCUAUCUACUAAUUGGAAAGUCUAUUCUCCAAACACAGAAAAGAUGAUUGACAGAAUUCUAAAAAUACACAAAUUUCCCUAUUAAAGAGGGUGAAUGGAUGUUAGUACUGUAUCAGACACAUAAUAUUAAGGAGAUACCUGCUGUUUAACAUUAACAUUCUGUGUAGUUUUUGUUUUGCAUCAAACAGACAUCAAAAAGUGAAUAAAAACGUGUCGUGAAAUUACCAAAUAAUAAAUUAAUCUCCUGGAUACAAGGAAGUUAUUUUAGCAAGUUCUUUUUAAUAAAAGCAAAGAAUGGGGAUGUAACAAUUAGAGAAAUGUGGAGGCAAACAUAAGAAAGUUGGGAGAGGGAGGUCAAAUCUCACUUCCAGUUAUCAGUAAAGUGCACAUUCUUUUUUGUAUUCUGUGAGGCUGGAGGUGCUGCUGAUAGAAUGUCCUCACAUAUUCUGUCAAUGUCAGGAUGCAAACAUCACUAAAUAAACCCUCGUGUCAAAAUGUCACAUAGUGAUUAUUUAUGCUUCUUGACAACACCAAUGAAUGACAAGGCUGCCUCUACAGCUGUGAAAGGUUGCAUACCAAUUGUUAGAGGUAACAUAGAUGAAGGACAAAGUAGUUAUCAGAAUUCAUUUAAACUGUGCUAUUAAAUUAGAUAUAUUUGCAGUAGCCAUCACAGUAAAUACUACUGUGAUUCUCCUGAAAGAACAUUGCCUAAACAAUUUAAUGCAGAACAUUUCCUAAUUACCAUGCAUUUCUGAGUCUUUGCUACCAUGUAGAUAUUCAUGCUGAAAGAGAAGUGUCAUUUCUUUUUCUUCUUUAAUUUGUCAUUGUUUCCCAGUGUUCUUGCUUCUGGAAUUGAAUUUGGAGUCUACAUUUUUUAAGGGUACUGCAAUUAUUAACGAAGUCUGGGAUGAUAAUGUCUCAGCAAAGUGUACACAACGAGACUAAGAUAGUUAACGCCUUAGUUGUUCCAAUUCCAUAUUGCUUCCUGUUCCAAAUCUACUAAUGAGUAAUAAGAGAUGUAGCACUAAUCAAUGGGACAAAAGCAUGCAUUAUGAAAAUACUCUAUCAACUCCAUCGGUAAAAUUUGUAAGGUAAUUAUAAAUUUGUUAUCAGACAUUUUAAAUUGUUAAAGUAUAAUUAAAAGGUAUUAUUUCAUUGGGGAUAACCUUCCACUCUGGUAAUCAUACUAAAACACUUGAUGCUCAAAACACAAUUCAAAGUUAUCUUAAUCAGCGUGAAUUUCAAGAUCCUCUUAAAAAUGACCUCUGAUACUACCCUGAGAUUAUUGGAGUGUAAAUCCUUGCUUUGCACUUUCUGGCUGUGUGAACUUAGGCAAAUUACUAACUUUGCUAUUCUUGUAUUUUCUCACUGUUAAAAUGAAAUAGAAAUAGCAUAGCACCUACCUCUGUGAGGUAGUUUGAUAAAAGGAUUAAAUGAGAAAAUCUACAUAAAGCAUGGUUCCUGAGAUCUGUCACACAAUAUUUUCAAGAUAUGUGAAAACAAAUUUUAAAAUUAUCAUUACUUGAAAAUAAAAUCCACAUGGAGAACUUCUAAUUUGCUAAUAAGCCUACAGAUGAU
This is a long non-coding RNA of Pongo pygmaeus (Bornean orangutan), 3129 nucleotides long. RefSeq lists it as uncharacterized. NCBI's taxonomy places the organism in Eukaryota, Metazoa, Chordata, Mammalia, Primates, Hominidae. The transcript is spliced from 3 exons. The record is from RefSeq and is a predicted model, not a curated record.